GAUGAACGCUGGCGGCGUGCUUAACACAUGCAAGUCGAACGGUGAAGCAGAGCUUGCUCUGUUGAUCAGUUACGAACGGGUGAGUAACACGUGAGCAACCUGCCCCUGACUCUGGGAUAAGCGCUGGAAACGACGUCUAAUACUGGAUAUGAGCUACGACCGCAUGGUCAGCAGUUUGGAAGAUUUUUCUGUCUGGGAUGGGCUCACGGCCUAUCAGCUUGUUUGUGCGGUAAUGGCUCACCAAGGCGUCGACGGGUAGCCGGCCUGAGAGGGUGACCGGCCACACUGGGACUGAGACAAGGCACAGACUCCUACGGGAGCGAGCAGUGGGGAAUCUUGAACAAUGGGCGAAACCCUGAUGAAGAAACGCCGCGUGAGGGAUGACGGCCUUAGGGUUGUAAACCUCUUUUAGAAGGGAAGAAGCGCGAGUGACGGUAACUGAAGCAAAAGCGCCGGCUAAAUACGUG
RNAcentral lists this ribosomal RNA (467 nucleotides) under uncultured bacterium. RNAcentral describes it as "partial 16S ribosomal RNA". It matches the Rfam family "Bacterial small subunit ribosomal RNA", at positions 28 to 507 of the family's 1533-position model. The record is from RNAcentral.